UUUUUCCUCCCCAACAACAACUCAGAUUUCUCCAGCUGAGUUUGUAAUCACCUCCCCAACUGAGUUGUAGGCUCACAUCCUCAACAGUUUACUCAGACCCCGUACAGAGUUUUAUCUCCUAUAGUCCCUGGUAGAAUUCAUUUCUGAUUCCCAACAAUGUUGAUCCUGGGGAGUGUUUGAUUUAGUCCCCUGCAAGGUUGUCUCCACUUCGAUAUGGAGUUGAUCUAAAAUUCCCCGCAGAAUGUAGACCCUCCGCAGAUAUUUU
This 265-nucleotide long non-coding RNA is filed under the name Lathyrus oleraceus (garden pea). RNAcentral's name for it is "Pisum sativum (pea) long non-coding RNA (PSAT_LNC002364)". Lineage: Eukaryota; Viridiplantae; Streptophyta; Magnoliopsida; Fabales; Fabaceae. The record is from RNAcentral.